RNAcentral lists this ribosomal RNA (854 nucleotides) under uncultured organism. Its description in RNAcentral is "bacterial SSU rRNA". It matches the Rfam family "Bacterial small subunit ribosomal RNA", at positions 527 to 1382 of the family's 1533-position model. The record is from RNAcentral.
GAAGGGACCUAGCGUAGUUCGGAAUUACUGGGCUUAAAGAGUUCGUAGGUGGUUAAAAUAGUUGGUGGUGAAAUCCCAGAGCUUAACUCUGGAACUGCCAUCAAAACUUUUUAGCUAGAGUAUGAUAGAGGAAAGUAGAAUUUCUAGUGUAGAGGUGAAAUUCGUAGAUAUUAGAAAGAAUACCAAUUGCGAAGGCAGCUUUCUGGGUCAUUACUGACACUGAGGAACGAAGGCAUGGGUAGCGAAGAGGAUUAGAUACCCUCGUAGUCCAUGCCGUAAACGAUGUGUGCUAGACGUUGGAAAUUUAUUUUCAGUGUCGCAGCAAAAGCGAUAAGCACACCGCCUGGGGAGUACGACCGCAAGGUUAAAACUCAAAUGAAUUGACGGGGACCCGCACAAGUAGUGGAGCAUGUGGUUUAAUUCGAAGAUACGCGCAGAACCUUACCAACACUUGACAUGUUCGUCGCAACUCUAAGAGAUUAGAGUUUUCGGUUCGGCCGGACGAAACACAGGUGCUGCAUGGCUGUCGUCAGCUCGUGUCGUGAGAUGUUGGGUUAAGUCCCGCAACGAGCGCAACCCUCACUUUUAGUUGCUACCAUUUAGUUGGGCACUCUGAAAGAACUGCCAGUGAUAAGCUGGAGGAAGGUGGGGAUGACGUCAAGUCCUCAUGGCCCUUACGUGUUGGGCUACACACGUGCUACAAUGGCAUCUACAACAGGAAGCAAGAAUGCGAAUUUAAGCAAAUCCUUAAAAGAUGCCUCAGUUCGGAUUGUACUCUGCAACUCGAGUACAUGAAGCUGGAAUUACUAGUAAUCGCGGAUCAGCGUGCCGCGGUGAAUACGUUCCCGGGUCUU